UGGUGGGGUAACGGCCCACCAAGCCGAAGAUCCGUACGGGCUGUGAGAGCAGGAGCCCGGAGAUGGACCCUGAGACAAGGGUCCAGGCCCUACGGGGCGCAGCAGGCGCGAAACCUCCGCAAUGCGGGAAACCGCGACGGGGUCAGCCGGAGUGCCGAUGCUCGCAUCGGCUGUCGGGGUGCCUAAAAAGCACCCCAUAGCAAGGGCCGGGCAAGGCCGGUGGCAGCCGCCGCGGUAAUACCGGCGGCCCGAGUGGCGGCCACUAUUAUUGGGCCUAAAGCGUCCGUAGCCGGGCUGGUAAGUCCUCCGGGAAAUCUGGUCGCUUAACGAUCAGACUUCCGGAGGAUACUGCUGGCCUAGGGACCGGGAGAGGCCGAGGGUAUUCCCGGGGUAGGGGUGAAAUCCUGUAAUCCCGGGAGGACCACCUGUGGCGAAGGCGCUCGGCUGGAACGGGUCCGACGGUGAGGGACGAAGGCCAGGGGAGCGAACCGGAUUAGAU
Molecule: ribosomal RNA, 499 nt
Filed under: uncultured microorganism
Description: bacterial SSU rRNA
Rfam family: Archaeal small subunit ribosomal RNA
Source: RNAcentral